UUUAAGUGUAACUAUAAGUUUUCGUGCCAAAAGCUUUAAUCGUCCGUCUUAUUUGAAAUGUUUUUAUAAUUAGUAUUUUUAUUGUUAUGAAAUGAUAAAACAUGAAUAGUACUUAUGCUUGAUUUAUUUUUAAUUUUUUUAAAAAAAAUUAAAUAAGAUGGACGAUCAAAAUUGGGCACGGAAAAUCAUGGCUGCACUUAAA
Non-coding RNA from Oryza barthii, 202 nucleotides. The record is from Rfam. Lineage: Eukaryota; Viridiplantae; Streptophyta; Magnoliopsida; Poales; Poaceae.